Molecule: small RNA, 117 nt
Filed under: Marmota monax (woodchuck)
Lineage: Eukaryota; Metazoa; Chordata; Mammalia; Rodentia; Sciuridae
Source: RNAcentral
GCUAAGCACAGUGGUGUGCACCUGUAGUCCCAGUUAUUUGGGAAGCUGAGACAGGGGAAUAAAUUGAGUCCAGGAAUUUGAGACCAGCCUGGGAAAUAUAGCCAGACCCCAUCUAAA